AUGAUCGCGACAAAGUGUAUGUUCACUAACCUUCGGCGGUUCUACAAAUAACUUCGCCCUUUGCUGUGAAAACUCAACCUUUCGACAAUAAGUCUUCAGUUCGGCGACAGAAUGGAUGUCUACCAAUGCUAACUGCUGUGUAAAAUGUGGUCGAAUGUUGUGCAACAAGAUGUCAAGCUUCGCUUCCUCCGAACUACCGGCCGAAGCUGAAGCACUUGGGUUCGAACCCUCAGCGACACCAACUGGUGCUGCAGUUCCCACAAGUGGACCUUCAAUUUCCGCCAGCAGACUCUCCAACCUGGACUGCAAACUGCACUUCGUAAGCAACAAUGCCUGGUCAUCCUCUUCGGGCUGGAUCCUAGCGAGACGAUGAUAAAUAUGGUACCCUAAUGCCUUCGCUCGGCUCAAGGCAUACCUCUCCUUGGACUCACUAUACUUCGCGACAAGGGACGACAAAUCAUCAAUCUUCCUAGCCACAAUAUCCAAUUCCGUGUCUGCCGCUAGCGAAGUUUCUAAAAUGUCUUCGCUUGGAGCCUCGACAACAAGAACCCGAAGCUGUUUCCUCAGAGCAUCUACUGUACUGGCGGGAGUUUCAGAACGAAUUUUCACCUCAUAAGUCAGCUCAUCUUUCAACAAUGCGUGAAACUGAAUAUUUCUCUCCAUUUUGCUAAAUGUGAAUCUAAUUCUUGAGAAUACUGGUAUUACAAUGCUCUAUUAUGUAAAAGUGUGUACUUUAAACUAUAAAUUUUCUUUUAAAAAAUUCAAACCUUGUUUUAUUUGAGUUACCUUUUAAAACAGU
Leguminivora glycinivorella is the source of this 799-nucleotide long non-coding RNA. RefSeq lists it as uncharacterized. Lineage: Eukaryota; Metazoa; Arthropoda; Insecta; Lepidoptera; Tortricidae. The record is from RefSeq and is a predicted model, not a curated record. The transcript is spliced from 2 exons.